This 6975-nucleotide long non-coding RNA is filed under the name Malus domestica (apple). Its description in RNAcentral is "long non-coding RNA (MDOM_LNC003041)". The record is from RNAcentral. Lineage: Eukaryota; Viridiplantae; Streptophyta; Magnoliopsida; Rosales; Rosaceae.
ACCCAAAAAGAGUUGUUUUUGUGUGUUUGUUUGUGUCUUAGGGUACCUUCCAACACAAUGAUGAGGAUUUGGUUUUUAAGUGCAUGACUGUUAAAGAAAGUGACUAACAUGGAUGAAAGUUUGAUUUACUCUUUGUUAUGCUUAGUUGUGGUUAUAACUUAUGAAUUCACAUGCAAUCAUAAAAGAAAAAAAAUCAGUUUUUGUAACAUGCUUGAAGGAAGGAACUCAAACUAACGCUACAACCUUGUGAGACUUGAGCCUAAACGCUUAUUUGGAGAGUUAAAAUCUGUGCAUUCUUUGUUUUCUAAGUCGUUGCAUGAUCUCAUUAUUCCUUGCUUGGUUGCUACUUAGAAGGCGUUUCAUCAUUUAGUUCCAAAUGCUAGAACUCAUGCCCAUUUCAUUCAAAGCAUGUUAUUGAUUUGCAUAACACAUAUUCAAGAUGAAGUUGUGUAGUGACCACCACCUUAGCCAAAAAGCCAUGAAUCCCCUAUGUCAUUAUGUUUUGUAGGUUUUAACCCCGUUGAGCCUUGUUUAGCCUAUGUUGUUGUUAACCCACAUUAUCCUCACCUAGCCUAGUUUAGGACCAUCCAUACCCUUGUUCUUAAAGCAUAGUAAAGCAUGAUUCGAAUUGAAUUCCUUUUGAUCUAUGUUGGCAGAAACCAAGUGUGGGGGAAGUAUUUUUUCAUGAGGAAUUGUGUGCCAUAGGCACGGCAAAGAAAAGAAAAAAAAAAUUCGUGGAAAAAGAAAAAAAUGAAAAAAAAGUGUGAAAAGUAUGAAAAAACAGUUUGAAAAAAAAAAGAAAAAGAGUUCCAAAGUAUUGUUUGUUGAAGUAAUGGUCCAAAACAAUGAAUUCGGCCUUAAGGAGUUGUUUAAGUCUUCCCCUUGUGUUUUAAAGUUAAUUUCUGCAAUCUAAGUGAAUUCUAAGUCUCAAUUUCAUUGCUUUGCUUACUAUUGCUUGAAGAACGUUUGUUCUCCCUAUCCUUUCCUUGUUAACCAACAACCUAAGCCCCAUUACAACCCUUAACUUCUACCUUGAGUGUUAUGUGUUUCAAUUUGUGGAGUUUGAAUUUGGUAUGAGCAUAUGGUGUCACUUGUUCUCGCAUCUAAGUAGUAGCAUUCCAUUCAUGAGAUCAUAUCUAAACAUGCUUCUUAACUCUAGAAAUUGCGUUCUUUGUGAAACAUAUAUGUGAGCAUUCGUUUUCAUAUCUACAUCAAUCUUCUCACAUAUGACUAGUGUAGGGUGUGGAGUUAGAAAAUCUGAGUGAAAAUAGAGUGUAUGUCUUGUAAGGAAUUGAGGGAAUUCUCUAAGGCAUGUUACUACAUUCAAAGCAUUGUUUUAAUUGAUUACUUGUGAACUAGUAAGUGGUGGCUUUAAUUAAGUAUGUGCUUGUGUAAAGAUGACUCAUAUCUGUGGGGAUAGCAAUCUUUAACAUGUCAUGUGCAUUGGAAAUCCCUGAGGCAAACGUUGGAAGGUUUAGGUUUUGUUUUGGUUAAGUUGGUUUCGUUUUGUUUCCUUUCUUUUGUUUGUUUUGCUCGAGGACUAGCAAAAGCUAAGUGUGGGGGAAUUUGAUAGGAGCAUAUUUAUGCGCCUUAGUUAGCUAGUUCUGAUGCAUCUUUGUUAUGUUUUCUUCGUUAAAGUAGUCUUUUAAGCUACUUUCAUGUGUUUUCAGGUUUAAAGGACAUAUUACAUGAAAUGAUGCAAUUUGGAGCUUUUGGAGCAAAAAGUGAGCUUGGAAUGAAAAGAACAUGCUUGGAACACAAGGUUGGGAUGAAAUUGAAGAAUUGAAGAUUUGAGGUUUCCUACUUGAAGUAGGAAAGCUAAGCCUAAAAGUUUCCAUUUUGGGUUGAUCUUUCCUAAAUCGGAAUUGGCAACCAAAGUUUCUAAAAGUUGGAAGUUUCUAUUCUUGGAGGUUUCCAUUUUCGUGAGUUUCUAUUCUCGGCUUUGGGCUUUUGGAUGACCCAUCCUCACUUCUUGGACCUAUGCCGCACCUUAACCCUAAUCCUAGCCCAUUUAAUCAGCCACACCCUAGGGCCUAAUCAUUUAAAUUCUGCCAAGUUUAAACCCUAAUCUAUCUACCCUAAGCCCAAGCCGCACCCUAGGCCUUUUCCCAUGCAAAAAUCUGAUUAUAAACCCUAAUUCCUUGUGGAUUUUCUAACCCUAGCCGCACCUAAACCCUAGCCCAUUGUCUAACCUGAUUUCUUUAGGGUUUUAGGUGCCUAUAUAUAUGUGUUUUACAUCCUUUGGCCGAACAUCACCCUCUCCAUAAUUCAGAAAUUCGUCCAGCCACUUCCCACUCUGUGCCGCAGCCAUUCUACAACUCCAGCCACCAUUCUACACUUCCAUACACCAUUCUACACCUCCAUACACCACCCAUACCCCUUGCUGCACCACCAUACCAUCCUAACUCCCUUCUAAAACCAAAAUCACAUCCAAAAACACCCUAAACCCUCUCUGCCGCAGCAAGGAGAAGAAGAAAGAGGAGCUUGAAGUCAGAAAUUCAAAGUGGAAUUCUUGGGCGUUUUAGGUGUAAUCUUUCUUAUGUCUUCGAUGUUUCAAUUCAAUAAACUUUAUGUUGUGAGUAUGAGGAACUAAACCCCCAUAGUUGGGGGGUAAUUCGAAACCAUGUACAUGCUUGCAAUUUGAUUCGAUUACAUUCAGUUGUUAUUUCAUAAGUUGUGGAUUCAAUUCGUUCAUCUAUUUGAUUGAUAAUUUAUUUGUGUAUGUUGAUUGAGAGUGCACGCUUAGUUUUCAUGCAUGAAUAUGAUGCUAGAUUAUGAGGGAGUUUCACCUAAUAGUUACAAUCUUAUAAUCACAAGUAGUGAAGAUCGCUUGAAAACGAUCGCGUUGAAUGAAUUCUUAGCAUAAGUUUCAUGCAAUUCAUAGUAACAAAUGCUUCGUCAAUGCUUAUGUUUUUCAUAUAGAACGUAAUGAUUCUUGCUUGUAUCUCUAUUAUGCAAUUCAUGUAGGGAACUUGUAGGGAAUGUUUUGGGUUGUCGUAUGCAAUCAUCCAACUUAAUAACUUGUGGAAAAACUGAGGGUUAAUUAGUGCAAUUCACGGUUAAUCUGGGGCGUUGAGUAUUUAUAAUUUAUUGGAAGAACAACUGAAAAUCGUUUUGUUUGCAAGUGUGACAUGUGUGGAGAAGAACCUCCUAACUAGCCUUUUAUCCAUCUAUUUCACCAAAAUCGUUUUUACAAUCUGUGCUAAUUAAAGUUUCUGUUUUGUGUUAAAUUUUCGUCCAAAACAAAUCCCCCUCUCAUUUGAAGUCUUAGAUUAGUUAGAAAGUAUUUUGAUUUGUGUUUCUAAGUAUUUUGAUUCAAGUUUUCAUCAAAUUUCGUCCAAAUUAGUGUAGGUGCUCAAAACUGCCCAGAAAGUGGUUUUUAGGCAGUUUUGAGCCUUCUAGUUGCUGUUUUGAGUUUUAGGUUUGUUUAAGCGUUUUAACCUUUAGUUUUGCAUUCUUUGAGUCUAGUUUAGUGUUUUAAACUUUGUUUUUGAGUUUUUAAGUCAGUUUCCAAGUGUUUAGCAAUCCCUCCUAAUCCUCGGUCUAGAACAAUCCCUACUUACAUCUCUACUACCAUUUGACAAAAGAGGGUUUAAUUUGUGUGCUUAUCUAUUUCGCAUCAUUCAACGCGAUCGUUUUCAAGCGAUCUUCACUACUUGUGAUUAUAAGAUUGUAACUAUUAGGUGAAACUCCCUCAAUCAACAUACACAAAUAAGUUAUCAAUCAAAUAGAUGAACGAAUUGAAUCCACAACUUAUGAAAUAACAACUUAAUGUAAUCGAAUCAAAUUGCAAGCAUGUACAUGGUUUCGAAUUACCCCCCAACCAAGGGGGUUUAGUUCCUCAUACUCACAACAUAAAGUUUAUUGAAUUGAAACAUCGAAGACAUAAGAAAGAUUACACCUAAAACGCCCAAGAAUUCCACUUUGAAUUUCUGCACGUCAAGCUCCUCUUCUCUUCUCCUUGCUGCGGCAGAGAUGGUUUUGGUUGUUUUUGGAUGUGGUUUUGGUUUAAGAAUGGAAUUAGGAUGGUAUGGUGGUUGCGGCAGAGUGGGGAUGGUGUAUGGAGGUGUAGGAUGGUGGCUAGAGGUGGAUGAAGGCUGCGGCAAGGUUGGGAAGUGGCUGGAAUGGAUGAAGGCUGCGGCAAGGAGGUGUAUGGGUGAUGGUGACCAUCUAAGCCGAAUGGUGCAUAAUGAGAAGUCCCUACCCAUUGCCGAGACAUUCCCCGAUGAACGAUUGAUGUCCAUAAAGGUAAGUGAGCCUUGGUAUGCCGAUUUGGUAAAUUUUUUGGUGUCAAACGAAUUCCUAGCACUUUCACUAGGCACCAACGUGAUAAGUUAAGGCAUGAUGCACGGUUUUAUGUAUGGGAUGACCCCUACUUAUGGAAAUUUUGCCCUGAUCAGAUUGUACGUCGAUGUGUUCAUGAUUCUGAAUUUAUUCAAUUCUAAGCUUUUGUCAUACAUAUGCAUGUGGUGGGCACUUUAGCACACAAAGAACAACACUUAAGGUGUUACAAUGUGGAUUCUAUUGGCCUAGUAUUUUUAAGGAUGCUAGAACGUUUUGCUUAACAUGUGAUAAAUGCCAAAGAAUGGGUAACAUAGGUGCUAGGGAUCAAAUGCCGCAAGUUUCUAUCUUUAAUGUUGAAAUUUUUUAUGUUUGGGGUAUUGAUUUUAUGGGUCCCUUCCCUUCCUUGUUUGGUUUCAUGUAUAUUUUGCUUGUGGUGGAUUAUGUGUCGAAGUGGGUGGAAGCAAAAGCCACCCGGAGUAAUGAUUCUAAAGUGGUUGCAGAUUUUAUUAGAACUAACAUAUUUGCAAGGUUUGGCAUGCCACGUGUAAUCAUAAGUGAUGGAAGGUCUCAUUUUUGCAACCAGACCAUUGAGGCGCUAUUGAGGAAAUACAAUGUCAACCAUAAGGCUUCUACACCUUACCAUCCUCAAACAAAUGGCCAAGCCGAAGUGUCUAACCAAGAGAUCAAGCAAAUCCUAGAGAAGACCGUUGGGCCAACAAGGAAGGAUUGGAGCUUACGCUUAGAUGACGCACUGUGGGCAUAUCGUAUGGUGUACAAAACACCCAUUGGGAUGUCCCCAUUUAGGCUCAUUUAUGGCAAGCCAUGCCAUCUCCCCGUUGAAUUGGAGCACAAAGCUCAUUGGGCCGUCAAGAAGUUCAACAUGAAUCUAGAUGCAGCGGGAAGUCAUAGAAAAUUCCAAUUAAAUGAACUUGAUGAGAUACGGCAUAAGGUGUACGAGAAUGCUAGCAUUUACAAGGAGAAGACCAAAGCUUUUCAUGAUAAAAUGAUUCAUGGCAAAACAUUCUCCAUCGGGCAGAAAAUGCUAUUGCUCAAUUCCCAUUUACGUUUGUUUCCUGGUAAGUUACGUUCUAAGUGGAUUGGACCAUUUGUUAUUACUAAUGUUUUUGUUCAUGGUGCAAUCCAAAUCCAAAGCUUGAAAACGGGACACGAAUUCAAGGUCAAUGGGCAUCGAUUGAAGCCAUACUAUGACAACUUUGUGGAGCAUGCCAUGGAUGACAUCCCCCUGCAUGCCGUGGGCUCCAAUGGGGAAUGAAUGUGCUCUUCGUCCGGCUGCACGACGUUAAAGCAAGCGCUUCUUGGGAGGCAACCCAUGCAUUCAACAAAGGAAGACCAAGGAAGCACUCCAAUUCCAUAUUUGCGUUCCUCAAACCCUUCUCUUUGUUGUUGUUUCAUUUCUGCCAUGUUUAGUGUGUUUUGUUGCUAUUUGUGCUUAUUUAUGUUUUGUUUGUGUGAGUUUAUGCUUGAAACAUUGAGGACAAUGUUUGAUUUAAGUGUGAGGGGGUAAAUAAGUGCUUUUGAUGCAAAUUUGUAGGAUUUUAUUACCCAUAACUUCCAAUGUUGUUCCUUGUUGUUUUUAAGUCGUUUUUAAGCUGUUUUGAUGCAUUUUAAUGUGUUUUAUAUAAAAAUCCGAAAAUCCCAAAAAAAGAAAAUUGAAAAAUUGUUUUGAAAAAAAAAACCAAAAAGAGUUGUUUUGAUUUGUUUUUGUGUAUUUGUUUGUGUCUUAGGGUACUUUCCAACACAAUGAUGAGGAUUCGGUUUUUAAUUACAUGACUGUUAAAGAGAGUUAUAAACAUGGAUGGAAGUUUGGUUUAUGUUUGGGUGUGAUUAUAACUUAUGAAUUCACAUGUAAUCAUAAAGGAAAAAAUUAGUUUUUGUAACAUGCUUAAAGGAAGGAACUCAAACUAACGCUACAACCUUGUGAGACUUGAGCCUAAACGUUUAUUUGGAGAGUUAAUAAUCUGUGCAUUGUUGUUUUCUAAAGUUGUUGCAUGAUCUCAUUAGUCUUUGCUUGGUUACUACUUAGAAGGCGUUUCAUCAUUUAGUUCCAAAUGCUAGAACUCAUGCCCAAUUCAUUCAAAGCAUGUUAUUAAUCUGCAUAACACAUAUUCAAGAUGAAGUUGUGUAGUGACCACCACCAAAGCCAAACUGCCGUGUGCCCUAAUCCAUUAUAUGUUUAAGUUUAACCCCGUUGAGCCUUGUUUAGCCUAUAGUGUUUGUUAACCCACAUUAUCCUCACCUAGCCUAGAUUAGGACCAUCCAUACCCUUGUUCUUGAAGCAUAGUAAAGCAUGACUCAAGAUGAAUUCCUUUUGAUCAAUGUAUUGCAGAAAACAAGUGUGGGGGAAGGGAUGUGUGUGUGUGCCAAAGACUUUCAGGUGGCACGGGUAGAAAAAGAAAACAAAAGAGAAAAAAUUCGUGGAAAAUAGAAAGAAGAAAAGAAAAGUUGUGAAAAGUAUGGAAAAGAGUUGAAAAAGAUGUGAAAACAAGCUCUAAAGUGUGGUUGUUGAAGAAAGGGUCCAAAACGCUUAAAUUUGGCCCUAAGUGUUGCAUGAAUCUUCCCUUUGUGUUUAAAAGUUGAUUUCUGCAUUCUAAAGUGAAUUCUAAGUUUCAAUUUCAUUACUUUGCUUGCUAUUGCUUUAAGAGCGUUUGUUAUCCUUAUCCUUUCUUUGUU